Molecule: ribosomal RNA, 406 nt
Filed under: uncultured bacterium
Lineage: Bacteria
Description: partial 16S ribosomal RNA
Rfam family: Bacterial small subunit ribosomal RNA
Source: RNAcentral
AUUGAACGCUGGCGGCAGGCCUAACACAUGCAAGUCGAGCGAGCGGCGGACGGGUGUGAAAUGUCUGGGAAACUGCCUGAUGGAGGGGGAUAACCACGGGAAACGGUAGCUAAUACCGUAUACUAUCAGAUGUGCCCAGAUGGGAUUAGCUGGUAGGUGGGGUAAUGGCUCACCUAGGCGACGAUCCCUAGCUGGUCUGAGAGGAUGACCAGCCACACUGGAACUGAGACACGGUCCAGACUCCUACGGGAGGCAGCAGUGGGGAAUAUUGCACAAUGGGCGCAAGCCUGAUGCAGCCAUGCCGCGUGUGUGAAGAAGGCCUUCGGGUUGUAAAGCACUUUCAGCGAGGAGGCGUUACUCGCAGAAGAAGCACCGGCUAACUCCGUGCCAGCAGCCGCGGUAAUAC